This 2903-nucleotide ribosomal RNA is filed under the name Escherichia coli. Its description in RNAcentral is "23S ribosomal RNA". It matches the Rfam family "Bacterial large subunit ribosomal RNA". Lineage: Bacteria; Pseudomonadati; Pseudomonadota; Gammaproteobacteria; Enterobacterales; Enterobacteriaceae. The record is from RNAcentral.
GGUUAAGCGACUAAGCGUACACGGUGGAUGCCCUGGCAGUCAGAGGCGAUGAAGGACGUGCUAAUCUGCGAUAAGCGUCGGUAAGGUGAUAUGAACCGUUAUAACCGGCGAUUUCCGAAUGGGGAAACCCAGUGUGUUUCGACACACUAUCAUUAACUGAAUCCAUAGGUUAAUGAGGCGAACCGGGGGAACUGAAACAUCUAAGUACCCCGAGGAAAAGAAAUCAACCGAGAUUCCCCCAGUAGCGGCGAGCGAACGGGGAGCAGCCCAGAGCCUGAAUCAGUGUGUGUGUUAGUGGAAGCGUCUGGAAAGGCGCGCGAUACAGGGUGACAGCCCCGUACACAAAAAUGCACAUGCUGUGAGCUCGAUGAGUAGGGCGGGACACGUGGUAUCCUGUCUGAAUAUGGGGGGACCAUCCUCCAAGGCUAAAUACUCCUGACUGACCGAUAGUGAACCAGUACCGUGAGGGAAAGGCGAAAAGAACCCCGGCGAGGGGAGUGAAAAAGAACCUGAAACCGUGUACGUACAAGCAGUGGGAGCACGCUUAGGCGUGUGACUGCGUACCUUUUGUAUAAUGGGUCAGCGACUUAUAUUCUGUAGCAAGGUUAACCGAAUAGGGGAGCCGAAGGGAAACCGAGUCUUAACUGGGCGUUAAGUUGCAGGGUAUAGACCCGAAACCCGGUGAUCUAGCCAUGGGCAGGUUGAAGGUUGGGUAACACUAACUGGAGGACCGAACCGACUAAUGUUGAAAAAUUAGCGGAUGACUUGUGGCUGGGGGUGAAAGGCCAAUCAAACCGGGAGAUAGCUGGUUCUCCCCGAAAGCUAUUUAGGUAGCGCCUCGUGAAUUCAUCUCCGGGGGUAGAGCACUGUUUCGGCAAGGGGGUCAUCCCGACUUACCAACCCGAUGCAAACUGCGAAUACCGGAGAAUGUUAUCACGGGAGACACACGGCGGGUGCUAACGUCCGUCGUGAAGAGGGAAACAACCCAGACCGCCAGCUAAGGUCCCAAAGUCAUGGUUAAGUGGGAAACGAUGUGGGAAGGCCCAGACAGCCAGGAUGUUGGCUUAGAAGCAGCCAUCAUUUAAAGAAAGCGUAAUAGCUCACUGGUCGAGUCGGCCUGCGCGGAAGAUGUAACGGGGCUAAACCAUGCACCGAAGCUGCGGCAGCGACACUAUGUGUUGUUGGGUAGGGGAGCGUUCUGUAAGCCUGUGAAGGUGUGCUGUGAGGCAUGCUGGAGGUAUCAGAAGUGCGAAUGCUGACAUAAGUAACGAUAAAGCGGGUGAAAAGCCCGCUCGCCGGAAGACCAAGGGUUCCUGUCCAACGUUAAUCGGGGCAGGGUGAGUCGACCCCUAAGGCGAGGCCGAAAGGCGUAGUCGAUGGGAAACAGGUUAAUAUUCCUGUACUUGGUGUUACUGCGAAGGGGGGACGGAGAAGGCUAUGUUGGCCGGGCGACGGUUGUCCCGGUUUAAGCGUGUAGGCUGGUUUUCCAGGCAAAUCCGGAAAAUCAAGGCUGAGGCGUGAUGACGAGGCACUACGGUGCUGAAGCAACAAAUGCCCUGCUUCCAGGAAAAGCCUCUAAGCAUCAGGUAACAUCAAAUCGUACCCCAAACCGACACAGGUGGUCAGGUAGAGAAUACCAAGGCGCUUGAGAGAACUCGGGUGAAGGAACUAGGCAAAAUGGUGCCGUAACUUCGGGAGAAGGCACGCUGAUAUGUAGGUGAAGUCCCUUGCGGAUGGAGCUGAAAUCAGUCGAAGAUACCAGCUGGCUGCAACUGUUUAUUAAAAACACAGCACUGUGCAAACACGAAAGUGGACGUAUACGGUGUGACGCCUGCCCGGUGCCGGAAGGUUAAUUGAUGGGGUCAGCGCAAGCGAAGCUCUUGAUCGAAGCCCCGGUAAACGGCGGCCGUAACUAUAACGGUCCUAAGGUAGCGAAAUUCCUUGUCGGGUAAGUUCCGACCUGCACGAAUGGCGUAAUGAUGGCCAGGCUGUCUCCACCCGAGACUCAGUGAAAUUGAACUCGCUGUGAAGAUGCAGUGUACCCGCGGCAAGACGGAAAGACCCCGUGAACCUUUACUAUAGCUUGACACUGAACAUUGAGCCUUGAUGUGUAGGAUAGGUGGGAGGCUUGGAAGUGUGGACGCCAGUCUGCAUGGAGCCGACCUUGAAAUACCACCCUUUAAUGUUUGAUGUUCUAACGUUGACCCGUAAUCCGGGUUGCGGACAGUGUCUGGUGGGUAGUUUGACUGGGGCGGUCUCCUCCUAAAGAGUAACGGAGGAGCACGAAGGUUGGCUAAUCCUGGUCGGACAUCAGGAGGUUAGUGCAAUGGCAUAAGCCAGCUUGACUGCGAGCGUGACGGCGCGAGCAGGUGCGAAAGCAGGUCAUAGUGAUCCGGUGGUUCUGAAUGGAAGGGCCAUCGCUCAACGGAUAAAAGGUACUCCGGGGAUAACAGGCUGAUACCGCCCAAGAGUUCAUAUCGACGGCGGUGUUUGGCACCUCGAUGUCGGCUCAUCACAUCCUGGGGCUGAAGUAGGUCCCAAGGGUAUGGCUGUUCGCCAUUUAAAGUGGUACGCGAGCUGGGUUUAGAACGUCGUGAGACAGUUCGGUCCCUAUCUGCCGUGGGCGCUGGAGAACUGAGGGGGGCUGCUCCUAGUACGAGAGGACCGGAGUGGACGCAUCACUGGUGUUCGGGUUGUCAUGCCAAUGGCACUGCCCGGUAGCUAAAUGCGGAAGAGAUAAGUGCUGAAAGCAUCUAAGCACGAAACUUGCCCCGAGAUGAGUUCUCCCUGACUCCUUGAGAGUCCUGAAGGAACGUUGAAGACGACGACGUUGAUAGGCCGGGUGUGUAAGCGCAGCGAUGCGUUGAGCUAACCGGUACUAAUGAACCGUGAGGCUUAACCUU